UCACCGAAAAGGCAAAAUCCGGGGGACCGGAUGACGCAAAGCCACCUACCCGGAACGGGAAGAGGGGUUACCGAA
Molecule: non-coding RNA, 75 nt
Organism: Geobacteraceae bacterium GWC2_53_11
Lineage: Bacteria; Pseudomonadati; Thermodesulfobacteriota; Desulfuromonadia; Geobacterales; Geobacteraceae
Source: Rfam